UCGACGAUCAGGAGGAACUGGCGGGAGCUGCACCGCGCGACCAGAAAUGGCAUGAAAAGCCGCAAGAUGGCCACCAUGCAUGCACAGUCCGGCAGACAAUGGCUAAAAGAUCUCCAAUCUGCAGUGCCGGGACAAGCCCGACACCCACAGUGGAGAAUCCAUGGUGACAUACACUUUUAAGAACCAUCAUUACUUCACAAGCUGUGAAUGUUCAGCAUUUAUGCAAAUCAUACCCCAGAUCUCAAGUCAAGCACUCAGAAAAUGAAGCACACACAAUCAGGAAUCAAAAGUGGCAAGUUUGGGUUAAGUGACAUGACUUGAAAUACAUAGGAACUCUGUGGGCACAGCCGGGAUAAAAUCCAAUUCUGCUGGUCUGUGUUCAGCUGCCUUAAUCAUAAGGCUGUAAUCCUCCCUCAUUUGCUUCACGCCUUCUAACCUGAUAUACAAGCAAGCCACACACACCCUGCCGACUAAUCAGAGGGAAUGCUGCAACCUCAGACACAGGCACAUUGCCUUGCUCCCCAGUAUGGACUACAAGGUCAUAGUGAAAGCCAUCUCACUCUGGCUGGUGUCCCUGAUGGCAGAUGUGAUGCACCCUUGCAAGAGCUACCACCAUCCCAAAAUGGAGCAGGAGAAGAUGUCUGACAAGAUGGAUCACAGGACAGAGUGCUGUUAUUCUAUCAGCUGGUUCUCUCAAAAAAUCGGGUACCCGUUCAACAUCUAGAACCUGUUAGGACUAAAGCCAUUCAAAAUGGAGGCAGUGAACUUUUGACUAAGGACUUCAUUUUGAUUAAAAUGCCUGUGAGCAGCAGAAGACUCUGAGCUGUGCUGGCUCUCAUCAGCCAGAACUAGUUUUUCCUGUCCAAUCGGAACAUGCCAUUGCCUCAGAGUUUCAUGCCACAGAAAAGAUGUAAGGAUCUGCACAGCUGCUGGAGGGUGUGGUCUUUUCCAUCUGUGUUCCUGUCAGCACCGGACCACCAUAACGGCUGUGACUAGAGAGGGAGAAGAUAUACCAUCAGUGAUCCACCACCAUCCUAGAAGAUCUCCACUGCGAUCUCCCUGGAGUUCCUCCCUGAGAGCUUCAAACUAGCUCAAAGGUAGAAGGUCCCAAGCCUUGGCUGCACAGCACCAUUGGUGCCUCCCAAUGUAAAUGGGUUUUUUUUCUUUGGGUUCUUUGCUAUCAUCUCUUCCUUUAUUUCUAGCCAAAGGGGGUAUUUGGGCCUAGGCUUCAUGCCUCUUUGAUGUAAUCCCUGCACUGUUAUAUAGUUAUUGUUGAUUAAGAAUGCUUACUAUUGUUUGUGGUGGUGUUUUUUGAGUCUCGUUUAAAUUUUCCA
Molecule: non-coding RNA, 1334 nt
Organism: Pelodiscus sinensis (Chinese soft-shelled turtle)
Lineage: Eukaryota; Metazoa; Chordata; Testudines; Trionychidae
Source: RefSeq, a predicted model, not a curated record